Molecule: non-coding RNA, 18 nt
Filed under: Gossypium hirsutum (cotton)
Lineage: Eukaryota; Viridiplantae; Streptophyta; Magnoliopsida; Malvales; Malvaceae
Source: RNAcentral
CAAGGAACUGCUCAAGAA